Molecule: ribosomal RNA, 459 nt
Filed under: uncultured bacterium
Lineage: Bacteria
Description: partial 16S ribosomal RNA
Rfam family: Bacterial small subunit ribosomal RNA
Source: RNAcentral
CCUACGGGAGGCAGCAGUGAGGAAUAUUGGUCAAUGGGCGCGAGCCUGAACCAGCCAAGUCGCGUGAAGGAAGAAGGUACUUAGUAUUGUAAACUUCUUUUGUCGGGGAACAAAGGCGGAGACGCGUCUCCGGAUGAGUGUACCCGAAGAAAAAGCAUCGGCUAACUCCGUGCCAGCAGCCGCGGUAAUACGGAGGAUGCGAGCGUUAUCCGGAUUUAUUGGGUUUAAAGGGUGCGCAGGCGGGAGAUCAAGUCAGCGGUAAAAUGUCGGGGCUCAACCCCGGCCGGCCGUUGAAACUGGUUGUCUAGAGUUGGAGAGAAGUAGGCGGAAUUCGUGGUGUAGCGGUGAAAUGCAUAGAUAUCACGAAGAACUCCGAUUGCGAAGGCAGCAUACCGGCUCCAUACUGACGCUGAGGCACGAAAGCGUGGGGAUCGAACAGGAUUAGAUACCCCAGUAGUC